This 2504-nucleotide long non-coding RNA is filed under the name Homo sapiens (human). Its description in RNAcentral is "HSALNT0165031". Lineage: Eukaryota; Metazoa; Chordata; Mammalia; Primates; Hominidae. The record is from RNAcentral.
ACCUGGCCUCCCAGGCUUUGCCCAAUCUGUGGCUUCCCCUGGAAUGUAGUUCUCUGCUCUUCUCUGCUGAUCAGACCCCUCCCCUCAGGUCCAGGCCCUUGGGACCACUCUCUCCAAGUCUCCUCCCCUGCCCCAGCGCCUCUAUCUGUUCCCACUCUGGUCCCAAUUUGUAAUACCUGCUCAUGCAGCCUGCCUGUCCCAGAAGCAGCCUGGGUUCACCAGGACAGGUGUCUGUCCUGUCCCACCAGUCAGGCUCAAAGUCUGUCCAGGAAGGCAAGUCCGACCCUCAGUCCUGGAGGGGGCCAUGCAGUGAGCUGGCAAAGACCUGUACAGGCUCAUCCAGGAAGUCUCGGCCCAGAGGCUGAAGGGUGGCCAACCAGCACAGUUUGCCCAGGAACGAGGUAGGGGAGGGGCGGGGGGCGGUUUCCUGGGAUGCGGGACUUUCAGUGCUAAGCUGGAAUGCCCUGUUCACCCUAGCUGAAGCCACUUGCUCAGAGCCGCACAGCAAGCCCACCACCCUGAACCUCCAGAUUACCAACUCAGCAUUGUGUCCUGACAGUGUCAUCAUAGAUGGUCAACACCGUCACCUGGGCAGCACUGAAGCCCAGAGCGGGAGAGACUGGCUCAAGACCAUGGGCCCUGACAUUCUCCAGCUUUCAUGGUGUUCCUGCAAUCCAAGUGCCGCUUAUCUCUCUACAGGUCCACCAGAUGACCGGCUGGCCUCCUAAUUGGGCUUCCUGCAUUCCUGCCUGUGCUCGGAGCUCCCUUCUCCACUUGCCUGCUGGAGGAGGUUUACAAACAAAAUCAGAUCAUGGCACUCCCCUGGGGCCCUGCAUCCUGUGGCCAGCAGGUCUUGGAAACGCCCCUGUACCCCAGAAACUUCCUGAUCAGUCCCUGGUCAGUGUAUAUCAUGCUUCCUGUGACAUGACAUCAACUUUUCAGUGACUUCCACUGGUUUUGGCCCAGCUCGAAGAGCCUGACACCUCUGCAGGGAAUUCUACCAGGGAGCUCAGGAGGGGGAAUUGCACUGAAGAUUUGUCCCAUCGUGAAGCAAGAGCACUGGAACUUACACUCCACCAUCAGGCCCUGUCACAGGAGAACAAAGAAGGAAGGCAGAGGAGAUCAUGCUCCGGCCAGCAGGGAAUCUCCAUUUUUUUCAGCCUCAUACCUUGGAAAGUACAAAGGAGUGAGAGCUGGGACUACCAGCCAGAGGGUUCAUGGAGGUAGUGGGAGGGGAAGAUGGGUUCUGCAUGGAGCCACUCCAGGGACUUUUCUUCUGUCUCACAGCCUGACAAUCACCUCUAGCUGUUCUCAGUCCCAUUCUCAUCAAUGACCUCGUCUCCUGAUUUUGUACAAUAUCUAGGUGACCUUCUCUUCUUUCCAUCUUCAAACGCUUGAUCAUUGAUGCUCCCUUUUCUCUUCUCUCUCCUCCUGGGAAAAGAGAAGGACCAACAUCCCCCUUUCCCUUCCUCCUGUGCUGUCCCGACCCCUCUGAGACCUGGCUCUAGCAGUAAGUCCCUCUCUCUUCUGCAGCACCAGCCUCUGCCCAUCCCUGCCCUCUGCACACAAAGCUCUCACAUUGUCUGCACUUUAAGAACUUUUGUGGCAAACCCUGGCAAAUCCUGCCACUUGUUUCCACUCUUCUCAAAUGGCUUUGAGGUCAUCAUUGACCUAUCCCAUUUGACCCUGUCCUGUAUCUGAUGUUGUACCCUUUCUCCUUGAUCCCACUCUGGCAACUCUCCCACUCCCCUUUCUUGGAUCAACUGUCUUGCUCCUCAGUCUUGAUCAAUGCCUCCUUCUCUCUCUUUAGCCUUGGCCCUUUUUGGCCAGGGAAAUAAAUGUGAAAUACAUAAAGCUUCAUUUUAUCUUAUGAUUAUAGCUAUGUUGAUGUUACCCAAGACCUAAAAGUCACACUCUCUAAUUACACUUCCCUCCUGUGUUCUGGGUCCUCUUGGACCAGUCCUUACUCUGGCUCCCCUCCUGGAUGUCUCCCAGACUUCUAAUUAGAAUUACUGUUUCCUAUAUCAAGCUAAUUAUCUUUCCCACCAACCUCCUCCAUCCUUGGGUGAAAGCAUCACUUGGUUGCAAAAGUCAGAAAUCUGGGUUUCAUUCUUGCGGUAGGUAGAAUAAUGCCCCCAGGCCCCAGGUUUUGACAUCCGAAUCCCUGGGACUUUGCAGAUGUGAUUCAGUUUAGGAUUUUGAGAUGGGGAGAUUAUCUGGGAGAGCCUGAUGUCAUCAUAAGGUUCUUAUAAGAGGGAGGCAGGAGGGUUAGAGUGAGUAGUAAGAGAUGCAACAGUGGAAGCAAGAGGUUGGGGUGAUGUGGCCACAAGCCCAGGAGUGCUGACAGACAUCAGAAGCUGGAAGGGACAAGGAAUGGUUUCUCCUCUGGAGCCUCCAGAAAGAACCAGCCCUGCUGACACCUUGAUUUUAGCCUUGGAAGACUCAUUUUGGACUUCUGACCUUGAACGUUGUAAGAGAAUAAAUUUACAUAUUUUAAACUGGUA